This 1461-nucleotide ribosomal RNA is filed under the name uncultured bacterium. Its description in RNAcentral is "bacterial SSU rRNA". It matches the Rfam family "Bacterial small subunit ribosomal RNA". The record is from RNAcentral.
CCUAAUACAUGCAAGUAGAACGCUGAAGAGAGGAGCUUGCUCUUCUUGGAUGAGUUGCGAACGGGUGAGUAACGCGUAGGUAACCUGCCUUGUAGCGGGGGAUAACUAUUGGAAACGAUAGCUAAUACCGCAUAACAAUGGAUGACACAUGUCAUUUAUUUGAAAGGGGCAAUUGCUCCACUACAAGAUGGACCUGCGUUGUAUUAGCUAGUAGGUGAGGUAACGGCUCACCUAGGCGACGAUACAUAGCCGACCUGAGAGGGUGAUCGGCCACACUGGGACUGAGACACGGCCCAGACUCCUACGGGAGGCAGCAGUAGGGAAUCUUCGGCAAUGGGGGCAACCCUGACCGAGCAACGCCGCGUGAGUGAAGAAGGUUUUCGGAUCGUAAAGCUCUGUUGUAAGUCAAGAACGAGUGUGAGAGUGGAAAGUUCACACUGUGACGGUAGCUUACCAGAAAGGGACGGCUAACUACGUGCCAGCAGCCGCGGUAAUACGUAGGUCCCGAGCGUUGUCCGGAUUUAUUGGGCGUAAAGCGAGCGCAGGCGGUUUGAUAAGUCUGAAGUUAAAGGCUGUGGCUCAACCAUAGUUCGCUUUGGAAACUGUCAAACUUGAGUGCAGAAGGGGAGAGUGGAAUUCCAUGUGUAGCGGUGAAAUGCGUAGAUAUAUGGAGGAACACCGGUGGCGAAAGCGGCUCUCUGGUCUGUAACUGACGCUGAGGCUCGAAAGCGUGGGGAGCGAACAGGAUUAGAUACCCUGGUAGUCCACGCCGUAAACGAUGAGUGCUAGGUGUUGGAUCCUUUCCGGGAUUCAGUGCCGCAGCUAACGCAUUAAGCACUCCGCCUGGGGAGUACGACCGCAAGGUUGAAACUCAAAGGAAUUGACGGGGGCCCGCACAAGCGGUGGAGCAUGUGGUUUAAUUCGAAGCAACGCGAAGAACCUUACCAGGUCUUGACAUCCCGAUGCUAUUUCUAGAGAUAGAAAGUUACUUCGGUACAUCGGUGACAGGUGGUGCAUGGUUGUCGUCAGCUCGUGUCGUGAGAUGUUGGGUUAAGUCCCGCAACGAGCGCAACCCCUAUUGUUAGUUGCCAUCAUUCAGUUGGGCACUCUAGCGAGACUGCCGGUAAUAAACCGGAGGAAGGUGGGGAUGACGUCAAAUCAUCAUGCCCCUUAUGACCUGGGCUACACACGUGCUACAAUGGUUGGUACAACGAGUUGCGAGUCGGUGACGGCAAGCUAAUCUCUUAAAGCCAAUCUCAGUUCGGAUUGUAGGCUGCAACUCGCCUACAUGAAGUCGGAAUCGCUAGUAAUCGCGGAUCAGCACGCCGCGGUGAAUACGUUCCCGGGCCUUGUACACACCGCCCGUCACACCACGAGAGUUUGUAACACCCGAAGUCGGUGAGGUAACCUUUUGGAGCCAGCCGCCUAAGGUGGGAUAGAUGAUUGGGGUGAAGUCGUAAC